GACGAACGCUGGCGGCACGCCUAACACAUGCAAGUCGAGCGGAGAAAUUAAGAUGAACCCUUCGGGGUGAUUCUUAAUCUUCUUAGCGGCGGACGGGUGAGUAACGCGUGGGAAACCUGCCCUAUACAGGAGGAUAGCCUCGGGAAACCGGGAUUAAUACUCCAUAACACUAAUCUUUCGCAUGAAAGAUUAGUCAAAACUCCGGUGGUAUAGGAUGGUCCCGCGUCCCAUUAGCUAGUUGGUGAGGUAACUGCUCACCAAGGCAACGAUGGGUAGCCGGCCUGAGAGGGUGAUCGGCCACACUGGAACUGAGACACGGUCCAGACUCCUACGGGAGGCAGCAGUGGGGAAUAUUGCACAAUGGGGGAAACCCUGAUGCAGCGAUGCCGCGUGAGCGAUG
RNAcentral lists this ribosomal RNA (400 nucleotides) under uncultured bacterium. Its description in RNAcentral is "bacterial SSU rRNA". It matches the Rfam family "Bacterial small subunit ribosomal RNA", at positions 28 to 410 of the family's 1533-position model. The record is from RNAcentral.